This 253-nucleotide ribosomal RNA is filed under the name uncultured bacterium. Its description in RNAcentral is "partial 16S ribosomal RNA". It matches the Rfam family "Bacterial small subunit ribosomal RNA", at positions 524 to 776 of the family's 1533-position model. The record is from RNAcentral.
UACAGAGGGGGCAAGCGUUAUCCGGAUUCACUGGGUUUAAAGGGUGCGUAGGUGGGCUAGUAAGUCCGUGGUGAAAUCUCCAAGCUUAACUUGGAAACUGCCGUGGAUACUAUUAGUCUUGAAUAUUGUGGAGGUAAGCGGAAUAUGUCAUGUAGCGGUGAAAUGCUUAGAUAUGACAUAGAACACCGAUAGCGAAGGCAGCUUGCUACACAAUCAUUGACACUGAGGCACGAAAGCGUGGGGAUCAAACAGG